Molecule: ribosomal RNA, 331 nt
Filed under: uncultured bacterium
Lineage: Bacteria
Description: bacterial SSU rRNA
Rfam family: Bacterial small subunit ribosomal RNA
Source: RNAcentral
CGCGUAGGCGGCUUGCCAAGUCAGGGGUGAAAUCUUUCGGCUCAACCGGAAAAGUGCUUCUGAUACUGGCAGGCUGGAGGGAGGUAGGGGCAGAUGGAACUUCCGGUGGAGCGGUGAAAUGCGUAGAUAUCGGAAGGAACGCCGGUGGCGAAAGCGAUCUGCUGGAUCUCUUCUGACACUGAUGCGCGAAAGCCAGGGGAGCAAACGGGAUUAGAUACCCCGGUAGUCCUGGCCCUAAACGAUGGGUACUAGGUUGUGGACUUGACAUGGGUUCACAGCCGAAGCAAAAGUGUUAAGUACCCCGCCUGGGGAGUAUGGUCGCAAGGCUGAA